GACAAUUACAGUUUCCAUUAAACACAAUGCAGUUCACAUUAUAACCCAUUACAAAUAUUCAAUGAGGGUUUCUAUUGUUUUUUUCUUCGGCAAGGCAAUUCAGCUAGCUAUGAGAUUUAUCAUACCGGAGGGGAAGAAAAUAAAUACGAACCAAACACCUGACUACCGUCGCGUCCGUAUUUCAUACGUGUGCGAGUGGCUAGUGAGCUUACAUGGGAAUAUUUCUAUGAUGGCGCUAUUUAAUGAUCUCACCGUUGCAGUCUCAGACCUGCUUUUAACGUUGUAAUAAAAUGAGAUAAUUAGAAAAUAAUACAGAGAGUGAUACUGAACUACAUAAUGCACUUCUUGUGAUUCUCACGGUAAAAAUGCUGCGCAAAAUCCAGUCAGCACUUAAACAGUCAGCCAGCUAGAUUAUUCAACAUUAGCAUACCAUCAAGCGAUUUAUUAUGUGAGGUAUUUUAUAAUUAAUUUACACCAGAAAACCAUUAAGCUACACCAAAUAUCAGAAUGAACAGAAGCCCAGGAGAGUUCGUUAACCUUGGUAAGUAAAUUAAAUGAUUAUAGCUACAACAUCGCUGAAAACCACUGGCUGGUCAAAAUUGUGCAAGUGUCUUGCGUUCGAUUCGGUCAAACUUAAGCAACACCUACGAAGAACAAACGGACAGGAAUGGCUAGUUUUAGACAGGAAUGAUCGUUAUUUUUAGACCUCACCUGGUUUGUUGUUGGCGGCCUGAUGAAUGGCGGCGAUUAUUUAAACAAAACGGCGUCGCAUCGAUCCACAGAACUUUCCAGAAGGUGAGUGGUGUAGGCGAGGGGCGGAGUUUACUAGCUGCUGCUGCACUACGCACGACGUUGUCCAAUAUGGAAACGUUUCAGUGCCGCUAAAGUAACGGGAAAAGCCUUUUCAAAGGGUUUUUGUUUAUGGGGGAAAGAGGAAUAAAAAUAUUUCCCCGCAGUAAUGUCGGAUUCUGGAUUCGAGAACUGACGGUCAUUCAGGUUUAUAUUAAUGUGCUCUUUCUAAUAUGUUAUCGUUUCUAUAGUAACAGCUCGUGGACAGGAACUCGUAAGACGGACGCUCCUCAUCGACAGACUUUACAUAAUACUGAAUAUGAUGUUUAACAUGUAUGGAAGGAGUCUCCAGUGUCAGUACUUUGUAAGAAUCAGAAGUAAAGCUGUGACUCAGUUCUCUGACAUCUUCAGGACAUGAAUCCACACCACCAGUAAUAAAACACCUUAUUCUGAGAGGGGGGGGGGGGGGGGGGGGGGAGAGCCCGGUGAGGUGAAGGCCGUUCAUAGCUGUUAAAAUACCUGAGGACAGAAACUAACCUGUUUUGCCAAUGUUAAAUGUAACUAUAAAGGGAUAAAAAAUGUAUGAUGUCAUAAUGAAUAAUAACUGAUCACAUAUACAUAUGCACAGUGAAAUUCUUCUUUCUUCACAUACCCCAGCAUGUCAGGAUCAGCAGGGGCAGCCAUGAUACAGCGCCCCCUGGUGCAGAGAGGGUUAAGGGCCUUGCUCAAGGGCCCAACAGUGGCUUGAACCCCCGCCCUUCCGAUCAGUUUCCCAGAGCCUUAACCGCCGAGCCAGCCCUGCUCCAUUCUUUAACGGAGAGGAUUAAGACACUCGGAGACGGCCGGUUAUAGGUCUCUUGCUAAUGUGAAUGAAGGUUUGCACACAUAACAUCCAGUUUUAUGGAGAUUUAACAGGAAGACUGUCUUCCAUUACAAAAGGAGAGAACACGAAUUCCGAAAUGAUCCACCAGAAGCAAUAAAACCACGAAACCGUGAACGUUUAAAUAGAAAUUUGUAUUUACAGCAAUAUUAACAUCGAGAAACAUGAUAAAUGCACUAGUAAUUUACAUCCUCACGCGGAUGACAGGCGUGUAUCACCCCCUGGUCACGAUUUAAAAAUCUAUUUCACGUUCUAUCUGAACAGAGAUUGCACACAGAUACUUUAACUUCGUGUAGUUCACCUUUUUUUUUUUUUUUUUUUUUUUUUUUUUUUUUUAAAGAACAAGUUCUGAAGGGAAUUUGAUUUUUUUCGAUUAAUCGGCAGAGCUCGUUACCAACAAAUAAAACCCCAGAUCCGACCAGAUUACCAGACCAGAUCUAAAACGAACAAAAAAAAAACAACCCGACAAAAUAAAAGCACUGAAUACUAUUAAGAGUCUCGCGUAUCCUCAUCGAACAUUUACAGCAUCAAGUCGACUUCACGGCCCACGAAAUAAAAAUAAUAAACCCAAAUACAUUAAUAUAAUGUUAAUUAAAUCGAUACGUGAUUCACACAGCUACGUCAGAGACAUAAGAUGACCCGGGGGGAAAGAAAUCUUUGGGGAGAAAAGUUUGAAAUGUAAAUGAACGAGCAGUAAUCUGGCCAUACGCGAGUAAAAAUAAUUUACACAAGAACAGGAAUAAUAAUUAUUAUCAUAAUCAAUGAUGAGCACAAAAUAACACAAACAAUUAGCAAAACUUAAGAAAUAUAAGAAUAUAUAAAAAAUCGAUCCGUUAACGUUAUGCGAAACUGGUAUAAAUUAUGACGUUAUAAACCAUCCCUUGAAAUAUGCUACAAGAUUCUGAAAACGAGUGAAAAUUAUUUAUAUUUAUACGUAUUUAUAUGUCGUUUUAAAUAUUCCAGCAAACCAAAUAACGAAGCGGUCGUAUUUUUAGACGGGUUUAGAUGACAUUUGCUCUCUGUGUGUGUGUGUGUGUGUGUGUGUGUGUGUGUGUGUGUGUGUGUGUGUGUGUGUGUGUAAAAUAAUGAAUUUUCGCAUGGUUCCACUCUGAAUACGUUGAAAAUAAACCGAACAGAACAGGAGGAGAUGAAACCUCACAGCUCCACGUUUCCAGUCUUACUACAGAGCGAAUCUGAGAGUGGGGUGAAGAGACGAAACGAAAACAACGGGGGGAUGGAUGAGCUGGCCUUACACGAGUACGAAUAAUUUACAUAAAAUAGACAGUUUACGUAAAAAUAUACCAAUACGAAUUCUUUCAUGUUACGCUAAACUGGUAUAAAUCACGGCAUUACGAACCAUCCCUCAAAGUCCGCGACGAUGUUUUCAAAACGUGGCCGGCUCCACGGAUUUUCAGGGGCGAACACUCCAUUAGUAUCGGGGUGGGGGGUGGGGGGUGGGGGGGCGAUCACCACCCCAUCGAUUCCCACCUUAAAAUAAUUACAUUUAAGAUAACAGAGGGAGAUAUUGGAGUUUUUAUGUCGUACUAAAACCUUCACAGGUCUAAUUGAGUCUGAAACACAGGACCGUUUAACACGGGAAACGGUUCAUAAACGCAAAGACGCGCCUCCGAUCGAUCCCGUGCCAUCUUUACAAUAUACACACUCUGAUUCGUCAGAGGGUUCGUCGGAGGGUUCGUCAGAGGGUUCGUCAGAGGGUUCGUCGGAGGGUUCGUCGGAGGGUUCGUCGGAGGGUUCGUCGGAGGGUUCGUCAGAGGGUUCGUCGGAGGGUUCGUCGGAGGGUUCGUCGGAGGGUUCGUCGGAGGGUUCGUCAGAGGGUUCGUCAGUCCGUGUUUCGCCAUGUACGAGUGUGAGGAAGAAAAUAUGUUCUCGAAAAAAAAAGUGCUUUUGUUCAAAGAAUAAAAAAAAGUGGUGGCUUUUCAGUGAAGAGAUUACUAUUAAUAAAAUAAAAUAAAAUAAAGUAAAAUAGAGAAAUAAUGAUGAAAAAAAAGAGACCCCCGCACCCUGCUGGAACAAUCGGACGUACCGAUCUGUAACGCGGAACAGACGCGAUUUAAACACGGAGCCUGACGAAGCCUGUUGUGCAAAACCUGUGAGCUACAAAAGCAGAUAUAAAAGAUGUGCGCUGUAUUUACAGAUUAUCAUCACGGACGGAAGAGGAGGGAGAACACAGGAGAAAUGUGAACGCCAGCUCGAGAUUUCUAAUACUGCAACCUUCACGUCGACAAGUCGAAGAAUCCGGCGAGACGAGAUUUAUUGCUUCAAUCUGCAGAAAACAGAUCGUCUGUGCUUGCUGCUUUCAGGUUUCAUGAUCGUCCCGCUCCGGCGGGGAACGGCGAGCAGCUCCGUUUCCUGUGCGUCGCUUCUCCGAUAAGGCUAAAAUGAGCGAGAGAAAAAAAUAUAUUGCAACACUCCUAACGCCGUGAAACAGCUCUGACUUUCCGUUAAAGUGCAAUCACAGCUUCCCCUCUCUUCCUCUCUCUUCCUCUCUCUCUUCCUCUCUCUCUUCCCCUCUCUCUCUUCCUCUCUCUCUUCCUCUCUCUUCCUCUCUCUCUUCCCCUCUCUCUCUUCCUCUCUCUCUUCCUCUCUCUCUUCCUCUCUCUCUUCCUCUCUCUUCCUCUCUCUCUUCCCUCUCUCUCUUCCUCUCUCUCUUCCUCUCUCUUCCUCUCUCUCUCUUCCUCUCUCUUCCUCUCUCUCUUCCUCUCUCUCUCUCGUACCUUUAACAGGACAGAAGGUGAUCUUACAUCCAGAUGGUCAACACGGCAUGAUAUACAUUCGCAAAAAUGUGUGUGUGUGUGUGUGUGUGUGUGUGUGUGUGUGUCCUUGUUUGUUCAGUUUUGAUCUUUCAGUGAGAAACAGGAUGAAGAAAGCUCACGAAGAAACAGAGAAAGUCUCUCAGGACAAAGACAGAUAUAGAGGACGUAGAUGAAUCCAGUACAUGUGUGUGUGUAUCAUGUUUUGUUAGCUUCACAGUGUCGCCAUGGUGACGGCCGUCCCUCCAUCCUCUUCAUAAAUAUUUCUGCGAGACAGAAAGACACGCUUAAAAUUAAGUAAUAUUAAUAAAUAUAAACAAUAAAACAAUAACAAUUAUUUUAAAAAAUGAACUUUUAUCUAUAGAGCACGUUUCACGGGUUAAACGUGCAGUUCGGUGUGCUCGAUAAAGCGGGAGAAAGGAGAAACCAAAAACGUCACAGGAAUAAAGUAAUAAAAUAAUUCAUAGUAAAAAUAAUAAACCGUAACUUUAAAAUAAACAAAUAAUCAAAAGAUAAAAUAGUAAUAGCAAAUUAGUUAAAGUAGGGAAUUAUAGCUACAGGGGGGGGGGGGGGGGGACCCCUUCAAAUUUAAUACAGAUCAAAAUAAAUAAACAAAUAAACAAAUCAAUCAAUCAAUCAAUAACUGCUCAUAAUAUGUCUAAGAACACAACAAAUAAAACUCGAGAAAAGCUAAAGUUCAAAAAUAAAUCACAUCAUAAAAUAGUAAUAAUUUGGUCAAAGGGA
This is a long non-coding RNA of Ictalurus punctatus (channel catfish), 5184 nucleotides long. NCBI's taxonomy places the organism in Eukaryota, Metazoa, Chordata, Actinopteri, Siluriformes, Ictaluridae. The record is from Ensembl.